AGAUGUUGCCUUCAUUCUAGACGGUGGAGAUCGGAAACUCAUUCUCCGGCAAGGUUUCGUGCAUGUUGAACAGUAGCUCGUUCAUUUUCAGGUAAGCUCGGUUUUAUUCAGAUCCAGGGAGACCUUACCGUGGGAUCAUUAUGAUUUUGAGAUAUAUUAUGCACAACUCUAUGAUAUGUAGUCUGACCGUUGGGUUUAAAACAAUAAUCAGACGUUGAUG
This 220-nucleotide long non-coding RNA is filed under the name Populus trichocarpa (black cottonwood). Its description in RNAcentral is "long non-coding RNA (PTRI_LNC003046)". Lineage: Eukaryota; Viridiplantae; Streptophyta; Magnoliopsida; Malpighiales; Salicaceae. The record is from RNAcentral.